AGAGAGGCAAGGUUUGGAACUGGAACUGUGGAGAACGGGAAAGAACAGAGAAGAAUCAGAAUCAAUGCCAACUUGAUGCCUGAAGCGCAAAUCCUGAGAUUCUACGAAUUACACAUUCACAUCUGAUUUAGGGCCUACUAUGUGUUAGGUAUGGCUCUCUUCGCUGUAAAAAUUAAGAUAAACAACUUCUCUGGGCGUUAACAGUAGCGGAAACAACCAACAUCAAUGAUCACCAGACACAGGGUCUGGAAGCAAUGAUACCCUGUAGCAGUAUGUCAUUAACACACCUGAGACCCAGAUCAGGAUUUCUAAAUACUGUUUUCCACUGGAAGGGAGAUCUGCUGAGAAUCCUCAUCGCCUGAACAGGUUAGCUCCUAAGGGCAGAGAGCAGGAUGAAGAAGGAGGGGGAGUCUAUCAAAAGGAACAAGUGCAAGAUACUCAGUAUCCUGAAUAUGGGCUUCUUCUUGGAGAUCUCUCUCUCUUCUCAACCCCAAGUUGCCAUGUAAGCAUUCCAGCUUACAGUUCCAGCUGAGCCCAGCCUCCCAGCCAUCCCUGCCAAGACACAAGACGUGUGAGUGAACCCAUCUUGAACCCUCCAGACCAGGCCAUCUACUAACGCAAUACCACUGAAUGCUCUCAAUCAACAUCUCAUGGAAGAGAAGAGUUGCCAUCGGAGCCCUGCGCAAAUUCCUGAACCCCCCAU
This is a long non-coding RNA of Physeter macrocephalus (sperm whale), 703 nucleotides long. RefSeq lists it as uncharacterized. The record is from RefSeq and is a predicted model, not a curated record. The transcript has 3 exons. Lineage: Eukaryota; Metazoa; Chordata; Mammalia; Artiodactyla; Physeteridae.